CCAAGCAGUGGUCUCUGCCACGACAUCUCCUCAGCUCAUGCCGAGCCAGCUCCUGGCCCCUGCCAGCCGACGUGCCGCACUACCCCGACGGCUACCCCACAAUAGCACUAUCCAAGAAUAAGGCAAGAAAAAUUAAAUUUUUCUUACAUUGGUGCGGCACGAAAAAGACGAAGAAAGCAACGAAAGACGGUCUUUUGCACGGGCAAGAUGUAGAAGAUUGCUAGAGGAGGGGGAACAAAUAUCCUCUAAUCUAUCUCUCUCUUGUAGGGUAGAAUAAAUCGUUCUCCAAAGUUGAUUUAAUAACCCACUUAAGGUGGACUUAAAUAGGCUUUGAGAGAAAUUUAUUUCCCUUUC
RNAcentral lists this long non-coding RNA (354 nucleotides) under Malus domestica (apple). RNAcentral's name for it is "long non-coding RNA (MDOM_LNC009427)". Lineage: Eukaryota; Viridiplantae; Streptophyta; Magnoliopsida; Rosales; Rosaceae. The record is from RNAcentral.